Molecule: ribosomal RNA, 253 nt
Filed under: uncultured bacterium
Lineage: Bacteria
Description: partial 16S ribosomal RNA
Rfam family: Bacterial small subunit ribosomal RNA
Source: RNAcentral
UACGGGGGGAGCAAGCGUUGUUCGGAUUUACUGGGCGUAAAGGGCGCGUAGGCGGCGCAACAAGUCACUUGUGAAAUCUCCGGGCUUAACCCGGAGCGGCCAAGUGAUACUGUCGUGCUAGAGUGCGGAAGGGGCUACUGGAAUUCUCGGUGUAGCGGUGAAAUGCGUAGAUAUCGAGAGGAACACCUGCGGCGAAGGCGGGUAGCUGGGCCGACACUGACGCUGAGGCGCGAAAGCUAGGGUAGCAAACGGG